AACACGACAUACAUAGAUUUGAAUAAUUAAGUUUACACCUUUAUUACAGACGACGCUGCAAUACUAGCAGCUAGGCACUGUGGAGAUGUAGCUAGAGUAGAGAACAUGCAAGGUGGCAUGAGCCGAUGAACGACGACUGAUACAUUACAUAGACAUGCAUUAUGCGCCCCCAUACGCUGCGACGAUGGACCCCUGACGCUAUGUCAGUGAUGAACGAUCACUGACCUGUGUUAUUAGCAACCACAUCACCUCGUGCGAUAACGUUAAUAACGUCAGAGGAACCACUUCAUCCCUUAUGCCGACAAGAGGCCAGCAUAUUU
Molecule: long non-coding RNA, 320 nt
Filed under: Setaria italica (foxtail millet)
Lineage: Eukaryota; Viridiplantae; Streptophyta; Magnoliopsida; Poales; Poaceae
Description: long non-coding RNA (SITA_LNC004568)
Source: RNAcentral